UACAGAGGGUGCGAGCGUUAAUCGGAAUUACUGGGCGUAAAGCGCGUGUAGGCGGGUAGAUAAGUCGGGUGUGAAAUCCCUGGGCUCAACCUAGGAACUGCAUCCGAAACUGCCUUUCUGGAGUGAUGGAGAGGAAAGCGGAAUUCCCGGUGUAGAGGUGAAAUUCGUAGAUAUCGGGAGGAACACCAGUGGCGAAGGCGGCUUUCUGGCCAUCAACUGACGCUGAGACGCGAAAGCGUGGGGAGCAAACAGG
This 253-nucleotide ribosomal RNA is filed under the name uncultured bacterium. Its description in RNAcentral is "partial 16S ribosomal RNA". It matches the Rfam family "Bacterial small subunit ribosomal RNA", at positions 524 to 776 of the family's 1533-position model. The record is from RNAcentral.